CGGAGGGUGCAAGCGUUAUCCGGAUUCACUGGGUUUAAAGGGUGCGUAGGCGGGUUGGUAAGUCCGUGGUGAAAUCCCCAAGCUUAACUUGGGAACUGCCGUGGAUACUAUCAAUCUUGAAUAUCGUGGAGGUAAGCGGAAUAUGUCAUGUAGCGGUGAAAUGCUUAGAUAUGACAUAGAACACCAAUUGCGUAGGCAGCUUACUACACGAUCAUUGACGCUGAUGCACGAAAGCGUGGGGAGCAAACAGGAUUAGAUACCCUGGUAGUCCACGCCCUAAACGAUGGAUACUCGACAUCAGCGAUACACUGUUGGUGUCUGAGCGAAAGCAUUAAGUAUCCCACCUGGGAAGUACGAUCGCAAGAUUG
RNAcentral lists this ribosomal RNA (368 nucleotides) under uncultured organism. Its description in RNAcentral is "bacterial SSU rRNA". It matches the Rfam family "Bacterial small subunit ribosomal RNA", at positions 526 to 896 of the family's 1533-position model. The record is from RNAcentral.